CNNUGCCGCGUGUAGGAAGACUGCCCUAUGGGUUGUAAACUACUUUUAUACAGGAAGAAUAAGAUCUACGUGUAGAUUGAUGACGGUACUGUAAGAAUAAGGACCGGCUAACUCCGUGCCAGCAGCCGCGGUAAUACGGAGGGUCCGAGCGUUAUCCGGAAUUAUUGGGUUUAAAGGGUCCGUAGGCGGGCUGUUAAGUCAGAGGUGAAAUGCUGCGGCUCAACCGUAUGCACUGCCUUUGAUACUGGCGGUCUUGAGUUAUAGUGAAGUGGCUAGAAUAUGUAGUGUAGCGGUGAAAUGCAUAGAUAUUACAUAGAAUACCGAUUGCGAAGGCAGGUCACUAACUAUACACUGACGCUGAUGGACGAAAGCGUGGGUAGCGAACAGGAUUAGAUACCCUGGGGUAG
This 407-nucleotide ribosomal RNA is filed under the name Cellulophaga sp. Asnod6A6. RNAcentral describes it as "bacterial SSU rRNA". It matches the Rfam family "Bacterial small subunit ribosomal RNA", at positions 392 to 793 of the family's 1533-position model. The record is from RNAcentral. Lineage: Bacteria; Pseudomonadati; Bacteroidota; Flavobacteriia; Flavobacteriales; Flavobacteriaceae.